This 1090-nucleotide long non-coding RNA is filed under the name Callithrix jacchus (white-tufted-ear marmoset). Its description in RNAcentral is "lncRNA (ENSCJAG00000074801.1)". The record is from RNAcentral. Lineage: Eukaryota; Metazoa; Chordata; Mammalia; Primates; Cebidae.
CAGUGGGGCUCCAGGGAUGUGGAGAUGCAGGGGCUGUGGGUCCAGGCAGGGUGUGGCCUGGUGAGGGCUAGGUUCUUACAGUGACACCCUGUUGUAGCUGCCUAGGGCAGGGGUGAGGUGGGACCUGGCAUGAGUUCCCCUCUGGAGCAAAGCCAUUGCGUGGUCUCUAGGCAGCUCCCUAUGUAGGUCUUUGGGCCUGUGAGUGUCUAGGGGCAUCCCUGUGACUAGGAUUUGGGAGUCCGUGGUGGAAGUGUGGACCCCUGGGGGGUCCCUUUCACUCACUCCUUCCCUGCACUGGGAGCCUCUCCAGGAUCCCAGCUGACCCCUGCCAAGCAGGCUGCCUUGCUUUCCUCUCCUUCCUGGCUUUAGGUGUUUCUUGUCACUGUUGAACUCUCGUGUUCUCUUGGAUCAUCUGUUCAAAGUGUGACCAUCUACUUGCUAUUUUGGGUUUUCGUCGUGGAGGGGGUGAGUACCAGAAGCUGUAGUCAGCUGUGCUGAAGCCCCUCUGAGAACCCAAUGUUUUUGACUCCUUAUUAAUUUUGACAACAAAACUUUCUUUUGCUAACUUUAUACUGAUCCUUACUUAUAUCACUUUCUUGGAUUUGUUUUUUUUUCUCUUCCUGCCAGAGUAAACCCUUUAAGAAUUUUCUCAAACAGUGCUUUGUGGAACAAAUUCUUUGAAACCAUCUAUAUGAGCCCAGAGCUAUUACUUUUUUUGUGUUAAAUAAUAAUCUAACUAGAUGCACUGUUUUAAGUUAAAAUGCUUUUCUUCAAAAAUAUUUCAGUUAUGAUCCAUAGUUUGCUUGCAUUGUUAUCAAAAAGCCUGACAGAAUCUUAUUUUUAUUCUUUUGUAGAUGUUGUGGUCUGAACUGAACUGGGUCCUCUAAGAGGAUGUUGAAAUCUGAAAGCCCUUGGAAUGAGGCAUUUAGCUGGUUUGCCAGCACAGCACAGCCUUAAGAUGAGAAGGCCUCCUACCAUUCAUUCCUGGAGAAAAAUGACGUUGACUCUCCCCUGCCCCUUGUUUAGAGAAUAAAAUCUAACUAUGCUUUUUUUCUCUCAAGAAACAUUUUUUUUUCUCAAGAAAGAAUAA